RNAcentral lists this long non-coding RNA (3364 nucleotides) under Brassica napus (rape). RNAcentral describes it as "long non-coding RNA (BNAP_LNC011772)". The record is from RNAcentral. Lineage: Eukaryota; Viridiplantae; Streptophyta; Magnoliopsida; Brassicales; Brassicaceae.
UAAAAUCGGAAAAGGCAAGAAAGAACCGAAAUCUCGAGUUCUUUUUUUUUUAGAUUGAAGAAAUAUACAGAGUAAGAAAUAAAAUAAAAUAAAAUGUUGAAAAGACGUUUAGCAGAGAGGUGAGAUUACUAAGCAAGAUAAUUAUAUAUCUGAGGGUUGCUCUUGUCCCUCUCCAAGUACUCUCGAUCGAUCAGGCUUUCGAUCCUCUUCUUCAGAUCAGCCGGUUUUAUUGGGAAUUUCAGCUGCAAAUCGCACACAACAAAAAUAGUAAUCCCAUUACAUUGCAUAGUAUAUUACAUUUACACCAGUACUGAGAACUCUCAUCAUUAUCGCAACAAUGGUCAAAGAUUACAAGAGUAUGUCUCAAGAAAGACAUGAAGAAAGUUACCUGUUGGAAGAGCUCAGUGAUUAAGAGAGUGUGGCUUAAGACUUUUCUUGUCUUCAUAAUUCGAACAAUGGCUGCAUCAAUCUGUAAGAACAGGAUGCGAUGGGGAGAGUCAGUUAUGUCAAAUCUACUCUCGUUCUACCAAACCGUAACGUAAACGACGAAGAAGCAGAAAUUAACCUGGUAUUGUCUGUCCUGGAAUACUCUCUCUGUUGUACUCGUGUUCUCUUCUACAGUCUCUUUCAUCUGGAUUGCAUUCACCUGCACCCCCAAAAAAAUAAUAACUUGGUUUAUUAUAUAUGCGUAAAGGAGACAAGAGAAUACUUUGAGAUUCUAGAAAGCUUGAAGUGAGGCAACCAAAGGAACAAAAAAGUUUCGACUUACCUUAAUGCGAUAGAGAGGAGCUGUAAAGGUGUCAUUAAAAUCAAAUUCAUCCCCGUCUUGUACGUCUCUUCCCUUUGGAUACUGCAACAACAUUUACAUAAGCCAUAUCAAUAUGGCAAAAAAAAAACAGAGUUAAAUGUAACAGAGUCCAUAUUUUUAGCCUAACCUUAUGCAGGAUACGGACUUUUCCACAGGCAAGCGACUGUAGAGUCCUUCUCAGUUCUUUGUCCUCUAUGCCAGUGGAAUCUUUAAUGUCUUCAAAGCUAAGUUUCAUUGCAUCGUUAAAUAACAUCAAAACAACAGCCUGAGAACAUCAAAUACAACACAUCCUCUAAGCAAUGGAAUCACAACGUAACCUCUGAAGAAAAAAAGGCUUGAAAAGGGAAAAAGAGAAAUUCGAGUGACCUGAAAAAGGGAAACAGCAAGCUCCUUUUUAGCUUUGGUGAAAUCUGCCUUCAGAACACAGUGACCUAGUGAAUUUUGCCACAUUAACCUCCUGCCACUGUACUUGCUCAAAUAGAACUCUUUGAAGAUAUCCUACUAAACAAAUACUUAAAUUAGAAAGAAAGAAAAAACUUUGUAACAAAAAACCAUCACGGAUGCAUAUUGGAACUUCUUGUGAAGACCUGAUAGACAUUUAAUUCAUGAGGAAGUUUAACGUCCAUAGGGGGAUAUGUUGGCCAGUACCUGCAUCAUACACGGAAGGUUAACAAGUGUUUACAAAUAUGUCUGAGUUUGAUACAUAGUACAUACCCUGUGGUUAAAACGUGGACACUCAUCUCAAUUCCCGAUGGCAGUUUUGUUCUGGCCUGAGACGAUUGUUUGAAUGACUCAUUGAUUUCCUUUGACAAUUCAAUAUCCUGGAGAAAAAAAAUCAAGGAAACAGGGGGUAUAGGGCUCGUUAUAAAUGUUGUACAUGCACACAGAUUCCUUAAACUGGGUAUGUUGAAAGAUCAUCCAACAAACUUGAUACGGAGUAACAAAGAAUAUGAAUACUAGGAUAUAUUGUACGCAUAACCUAUGGAAAUUAAGAUGAUAAAAUAAAACUAAGGAUCUUUUUCUGUAGAAAAAUUUAGAGAGAUGGAAAAAGAAAAGAGGACCUUAAACAUCCCUUCGAGCUUGUUUGUAAACUGGCUACCACACUCAGUCUUGAGCUGUAAGUGUUACCAAGGUUAGGUCAUGGUAAGAACUAAGAACUUACCGAUAUAGAAAAAAACAGUGAGAGAGAGAUAGUCAACAAGAGUCUCUUUGCAGGAACCUUUUGUUACCUUAGAGAUCAUGGACUUCUCAGCAUCAAUCGAUGCGCUCUUUCCCAAAAGGAGUCUCUUUGCAAGAUCCUUUUUAUAGAAUGCUUCGAACACAUCUUUACCCUUUGAACGGAAAAAUAGAAAUCCGUCAGCGAAACUGAAUCUAGUGGGUCAAAUAGCUGGUUUUUAGACGGUGCACUGCCUGAAUGCAGUUAUUUAACAGAGACAAACCUGGAUAAAUCUGAACAAAACCAAGACUUUUUCAAGGGUGCUCUCCAAUUCUUCUUCAGAAGUACCCUUAUUCCCAGCACGGAGCUUCUCGUCCAAAAAUUUGGCGAUAAGUUCAGCUGGACGAUUCUGCAAAAGAUAUCACGAGCAUAUAUUAUAUGAAGCACUUACUAACAAUGCGAACUUGAAACUUCUAUAGAUUUAAUACGAUGAAUCACUAAUGAGCAGAAUGCUAUUAUACUCAUGAAUCACACUGUGUUUUUUUGGUCUAUAUGCAGUUUGGUUUGCUCGUGCUUUAAAUUUUUUUAAAAAGCUUAAAUACAACCUAUAACUUAAUUGUGUAGCUGAAACACAAAGACUUCAGACCGUUAUAAACCAGAACAUGCACUUGCAUGUCCCUAUUAUUCACUCAUAUGGUUUUAAAACGAUGGUAAUAUAUUUCUAAUUCUUAAAAUGGUAGGAAAAAACGCUGUAUUCCGGGAGAUAUUUAUGUUCACUUUGCUUCAAGGCAUUAGGGAUUUUGAGGUAGCUGUCUGGAACUCAUCCCUUCCGCAUUUAUUUUUGUACAACUAGUUUCUUAGACCAUUUACAUCCCUAAUAUUGAGAGAAAGAUUUUUGAAACCAAAUUAUAAAAGAAAUAACAAAAUAAAUACUAAUGGGGUUUUUAAAAAAAAAUUAUGAAAUACCAAUAGUCUCCCAAAAUAUUUUUUUUGAAAAGCUAUUGCUUAAAUAUCUCAUAAUUUUAAGAGCCUCAAAUAUUAUUUUGGUUUUGAGAACCUCUUUCUUAUACUAAAGAUGAAGAUGUUCUUAUUCACUCAUUUAUACUAGCAGCGAAGGAAAGGGAAAAAAUUAGGAAGAAAUACAAGCUGAAUAAAAUCGGAAAAGGCAAGAAAGAACCGAAAUCUCGAGUUCUUUUUUUUUUUAGAUUGAAGAAAUAUACAGAGUAAGAAAUAAAAUAAAAUAAAAUAAAAUGUUGAAAAGACGUUUAGCAGAGAGGUGAGAUUACUAAGCAAGAUAAUUAUAUAUCUGAGGGUUGCUCUUGUCCCUCUCCAAGUACUCUCGAUCGAUCAGGCUUUCGAUCCUCUUCUUCAGAUCAGCCGGUUUUAUUGGGAAUUUCAGC